This 73-nucleotide transfer RNA is filed under the name Cordylochernes scorpioides. Its description in RNAcentral is "tRNA-Thr". It matches the Rfam family "tRNA". Rfam says of the family: Transfer RNA (tRNA) molecules are approximately 80 nucleotides in length. Their secondary structure includes four short double-helical elements and three loops (D, anti-codon, and T loops). Lineage: Eukaryota; Metazoa; Arthropoda; Arachnida; Pseudoscorpiones; Chernetidae. The record is from RNAcentral.
UCCAGGGUAGCCUAGUGGACAUGGCAUCUGCCCGGUAAGCGGAACGUUGUAGGUUCGAUUCCCAUCCCUGGAC